RNAcentral lists this small RNA (452 nucleotides) under Pongo abelii (Sumatran orangutan). Its description in RNAcentral is "retained intron". The record is from RNAcentral. Lineage: Eukaryota; Metazoa; Chordata; Mammalia; Primates; Hominidae.
AAAGAAAAAGAGGACUCCGCAAGAAGAUCAAUGGGAUGGAGUUGGUCCUAUCCCAGGAUUGUCGAAGUCCCCCAAAGGGGUUGAGAUGCUGUGGCACCCAUCGGUGGUAAAACCAUAUCUGACUCUUCUAGCAGAAAGUUCCAACCCAGCCACCUUGGAAGGCUCUGCCGGGUCUCUCCAGAACCUCUCUGCUGGCAACUGGAAGUUUGCAGCAUAUAUCCGGGCGGCCGUCCGAAAAGAAAAGGGGCUCCCCAUCCUUGUGGAGCUUCUGAGAAUGGAUAACGAUAGAGUUGUUUCUUCCGUGGCAACUGCCUUGAGGAAUAUGGCACUAGAUGUUCGCAACAAGGAGCUCAUAGGUAUGUUCUGGUGACAAGAUGAGCUGUAAAUGUGAGAGCAGCUACAAAAUUCAUGAAACUCUUCUUUUGAUUAAUAAAUACAUGGCUUGUAAAAUC